GGGCCCGCACAAGCGGCGGAGCAUGCGGAUUAAUUCGAUGCAACGCGAAGAACCUUACCAAGGCUUGACAUGUGCCGGAAAAGUGCAGAGAUGUGCUCCCCGCAAGGUCGGUACACAGGUGGUGCAUGGUUGUCGUCAGCUCGUGUCGUGAGAUGUUGGGUUAAGUCCCGCAACGAGCGCAACCCUCGUUCUAUGUUGCCAGCGGGUUAUGCCGGGGACUCAUAGGAGACUGCCGGGGUCAACUCGGAGGAAGGUGGGGAUGACGUCAAAUCAUCAUGCCCCUUAUGUCUUGGGCUUCACGCAUGCUACAAUGGCCAGUACAAAGGGCUGCGAUACCGCAAGGUGGAGCGAAUCCCAAAAAACUGGUCUCAGUUCGGAUUGGGGUCUGCAACUCGACCCCAUGAAGUCGGAGUCGCUAGUAAUCGCAGAUCAGCAACGCUGCGGUGAAUACGUUCCCGGGCCUUGUACACACCGCCCGUCAAGUCACGAAAGUCGGUAACACCCGAAGCCGGUGGCCCAACUCGCAAGAGGGGGAGCCGUCAAAGGUGGGACUGGCGAUUGGGACU
Molecule: ribosomal RNA, 566 nt
Filed under: uncultured bacterium
Lineage: Bacteria
Description: bacterial SSU rRNA
Rfam family: Bacterial small subunit ribosomal RNA
Source: RNAcentral